UCCAGGUUGUCUCAUUAGAUCAAUGGAUCAGCCGCGAUUGGUGUUCUGUUUGCGAUCCCUCAAUCGCGGCUCUAGUCCAGCUAAGAGACAGCCUCUUCAUCCAGGGUUUUUGGUGUUCUGACUUUUUAGUCUCCCAUAGUGGAAAGAGAGAGGGGGAG
Long non-coding RNA from Salarias fasciatus (jewelled blenny), 158 nucleotides. RefSeq lists it as uncharacterized. The transcript has 3 exons. The record is from RefSeq and is a predicted model, not a curated record. NCBI's taxonomy places the organism in Eukaryota, Metazoa, Chordata, Actinopteri, Blenniiformes, Blenniidae.